RNAcentral lists this ribosomal RNA (963 nucleotides) under uncultured bacterium. RNAcentral describes it as "bacterial SSU rRNA". It matches the Rfam family "Bacterial small subunit ribosomal RNA", at positions 521 to 1502 of the family's 1533-position model. The record is from RNAcentral.
UAAUACGGAGGGUCCAAGCGUUAUCCGGAAUCAUUGGGUUUAAAGGGUCCGUAGGCGGGCUAAUAAGUCAGAGGUGAAAGUUUGCAGCUCAACUGUAAAAUUGCCUUUGAUACUGUUAGUCUUGAGUUAUAGUGAAGUGGUUAGAAUAAGUGGUGUAGCGGUGAAAUGCAUAGAUAUCACUUAGAAUACCGAUUGCGAAGGCAGAUCACUAACUGUAUACUGACGCUGAGGGACGAAAGCAUGGGUAGCGAACGGGAUUAGAUACCCCGGUAGUCCAUGCUGUAAACGAUGGAUACUAGCUGUUGGCUUCGGUCAGUGGCUAAGCGAAAGUGAUAAGUAUCCCACCUGGGGAGUACGUUCGCAAGAAUGAAACUCAAAGGAAUUGACGGGGGCCCGCACAAGCGGUGGAGCAUGUGGUUUAAUUCGAUGAUACGCGAGGAACCUUACCAGGGCUUAAAUGGGAGAUGACAGGGGCAGAGACGCCCUUUUCUUCGGACAUCUUUCAAGGUGCUGCAUGGUUGUCGUCAGCUCGUGCCGUGAGGUGUCAGGUUAAGUCCUAUAACGAGCGCAACCCCUACCGUUAGUUGCCAGCGAUUCAAGUCGGGGACUCUAACGGGACUGCCGGUGCAAACCGUGAGGAAGGUGGGGACGACGUCAAAUCAUCACGGCCCUUACGUCCUGGGCUACACACGUGCUACAAUGGUCGGUACAGAGGGAAGCUACCCCGCAAGGGGAUGCGGAUCUAUAAAACCGAUCUCAGUUCGGAUCGGGGUCUGCAACUCGACCCCGUGAAGCUGGAAUCGCUAGUAAUCGGAUAUCAGCCAUGAUCCGGUGAAUACGUUCCCGGGCCUUGUACACACCGCCCGUCAAGCCAUGGAAGCUGGGGGUGCCUGAAGUCCGUCACCGCAAGGAGCGGCCUAGGGCAAGACUAGUAACUAGGGCUAAGUCGUAACAAGGUAGCCG